ACCUAUGCAGGGGAAUAACCUCGGGAAACUGAGUAUAAUGCCCCAUAGUCCACUACGCCUGGAACGGUGAGUGGAUCAAAGCUCAGGCGGCAUAGGAUGGGCCUGCGGCGUAUCAGGUUGUAGGGGGUGUAAAGUACCCUCUAGCCAUCUACGCGUACGGGUGUUGGGAGACAUAGCCCGGAGAUGGAUUCUGAGACACGAAUCCAGACCCUACGGGGUGCAGCAGGCGCGAAAACUUGACAAUGCGAGCAAUCGUGAUCAGGGAACUCCAAGUGGCUGGGGUAAGACCCAGUCUUUUCAUAACUCUUCAAAGGUUGUAGAAUAAGGGGUGGGUAAGGACGGUGCCAGCCGCCGCGGUAAUACCGGCGCCUCAAGUGGUAGUCGCUUUUAUUGGGCCUAAAACGUCCGUAGCCGGUUUGGUACAUUCGUGGGUAAAUCAACUCGCUCAACGAGUUGAAUUCUGCGAGGACGGCCAGACUUGGGACCGGGAGAGGUGUGGGGUACUCUCAGGGUAGGGGUAAAAUCCUGUCAUCCUGAGAGGACCACCUGUUGCGAAGGCGCCACACUAGAACGGAUC
This 577-nucleotide ribosomal RNA is filed under the name uncultured archaeon. Its description in RNAcentral is "bacterial SSU rRNA". It matches the Rfam family "Archaeal small subunit ribosomal RNA", at positions 112 to 691 of the family's 1478-position model. The record is from RNAcentral.